Long non-coding RNA from Rosa chinensis, 2038 nucleotides. RefSeq lists it as uncharacterized. NCBI's taxonomy places the organism in Eukaryota, Viridiplantae, Streptophyta, Magnoliopsida, Rosales, Rosaceae. The record is from RefSeq and is a predicted model, not a curated record. The transcript is spliced from 7 exons.
CAGCAGUCCUCUGAGCCAAAGCUCAGAGCUUUCCCUUAUUCCUCUCAUCCAAAACCCUCAAAUUUCAAAUCCCCUAAUCUUCAUCUCAUCCAAUUCCUUCCCCAAUUAGAAUCUCAACCUUCAAUUCAACUCUACUAUCUCCAGUUCACCGUCUUUUGCUACCAAAAUGGCAUUCCCUGGCUGUUGUUACCAUUUUCUAGGUCGUCUUUCUUCGUCUCCGACACCGCACUGUACCAAAAUUUUCACCUUCCUAUUUCAAUUUGCUCUUAUGGCGAUACGCGUCUCCCUAGGGUUUUCCGGCUACGUGGCCCAAAACCUAGCCUCCUCCGCCAAUAUUCGCGUCUUUAAUUGUUGCAUCGUCCAUGAAUGCUGGGUUAGGUCUCGACAAACCAGAAGGCCAAUCUCGACUGCUCGGGCAUGGUCCCUAAUUACCGCUCCAAAUUCUCUGCCACGAACAAGACUCCGACCUCCCUCUACGACGCCCUUGCCGAACUCCUCGGUAAAAGCUCCAAGACCUUGAUUAUGUCCACCUUGCUCUUUGAGAAGCUUUAAUGGAAGCUUAUGAAUCUGUUGAGUAUCUUAUUGUUUUUUAUUUUGUUUUGAAGUUUUUCAUUGUUCUUUUUGGUAGGCUCUUUUUUUUUUUUUUUUUGAUUUUAUUGGAAUUUGGUAUGUGAAAGUGGAAAUGACAAGCUCAGUGGAGAAGGAGGAGGUUGCGUCCUUAGAGUUGGCAUUGGAUUGCUUCUCACUCUUGCUGGCUAUCUCAGUCUCCAAGCUCUGAUUCUUGAAACAGAGGCCAGAAAAAUACCUUGGAGAGAUAGAAACAUGGGAGAAAGCUGAGGCAAUUCUCACAGAAGCAUUAAAUGAGUUUGGCAAACCCUGAUAAAUGAAGGGGAUGGUGCACUUUACGGAAAAAAGAUAGAUAUCGAUGUAUCUGAUGCAUUGAACAUGAAAUUUCAGUGUGCAACAUUAUAGCUUGAUUUUCAGCUACUAACUAGCUUUGAGCUGUAUUACUCAGCAGAGGGUGAAGAAGGCAAGGAGGCACCUGUUAUGAUACACAGAGCCAUUUUGGGUUCUGUUAAGAGUAUGUUUGCUAUACUGCUGCAUCACUACAAUUGGAAAUGGCUGCUCUGGCUUAGUCCACGUCAGGCAAUUGUUUGCCCUGUCUUGGACAAAUCCCAGCCCUAUGCUCAACAGGUAGUUUGAAAUAUAUCUUUCAGGCUGGUUAUUGUGUUGAUGUUGACGCAAGUGAUAGGACCAUACAGAAAAAGCUAUUGCCACAGUUGUCACAAUUGCAGAAAUUCCCAAGAACAAUGAGCUGGCUGUUGAGAAAAGUGAGACUUCUACUUUUCUUUUAAACUUUCAGCAAAGCAAUUAACAAAUUGUCAAACAUAUUUAUUCUUUUUAAUAUUACACAGAAAUCAUGACAUCAACUGUUGACAUAAAGGAUGAUUCUAGAGGGAGACCAGUCCAAGAAGCCAAGGCAGCAGCAAGUAAAAGGUGGAGAAAGUUGUUUGCAAUGAGAGCACCUCAAACAUCUUAAUCUGCGCUUCUAAUCCUGGUUUAAGGAACUAUAGAACAAUUUGUUGAUAAAAAAGAAGCCUCUUCAUGUUUCAAUAGAGCAUUUGCUGGGUACUGAAAUGACUAUUUUUUGUCUCAACUCUGUAAGUAUCACUAAAUACGUACUAGAGAAUCCAUGUCUUAACUCGUAAUUAUUUGUACUGUUAUUUUGAUAGAUAUGAGAUUUUUGGCAAAUCUUAAUAUAGCAUAAAUGUCUAGCAUAAAUGGGUGUAGUUACCAACAACAAGAGCCAAGUGUCCCAAGCUCGGCCGCAAAAAAAAGUACAAAGCAAUUGGAGCAGGUCCUUCCAGGUUUUAUUGAAGCCGAAGGCUAAGAGCCAUUGAGAAUAUGAAUGUUUUUUUAUUCAUGUAUAUCUAGCUAGGAAUGCUCUUGUUUGGUACAUUAUCUAGUUACUUGAAUGUAUAGAUGUUUGAAUAAUGGUACUUGAAUUAUAUGGAUUAUAGUACUGUUUAUAUGGUAA